CUAGAUAAGGAGACUCUAUAUACAUAUAAACCCCUUUUCCCGUGUCACAAUCAGAGCAGAGCUUCACCGACGACUCGACAUCGAAUACCACAAAACCUGUAAAUCUGGACCCCCAACGGUCCAGCACAUAACACAUAAAAGAGAGUUAGAUAACAUACUCAAAAUAUACAAGUGUAAGUAAAUGGUACUUAAACACUUCUUCAUAAAAACAUGCAUAAUCAUACAUUAUACAUAUACAUC
Molecule: long non-coding RNA, 240 nt
Filed under: Trifolium pratense (red clover)
Lineage: Eukaryota; Viridiplantae; Streptophyta; Magnoliopsida; Fabales; Fabaceae
Description: long non-coding RNA (TPRA_LNC007510)
Source: RNAcentral